This 1361-nucleotide long non-coding RNA is filed under the name Coturnix japonica (Japanese quail). RNAcentral's name for it is "lncRNA (ENSCJPG00005010312.1)". The record is from RNAcentral. Lineage: Eukaryota; Metazoa; Chordata; Aves; Galliformes; Phasianidae.
CAAACAACAACGGGGGGGGUGGGGUGUCGGGGGGGGGGAAGAAAGACAGAGAGAGAGAGGAGUUUUUAGUAAUUAGUGCGACAUAAUUGAGUAAUGCGGCAGCUCCUCGCUCCAGCCCCCCCCUCCACCCCCCCCUUUCCCACUUCCCCCCUGCUCUUCUUCUUCCCCGAUCGAUGCAAUAUCAUUAGGGUGAGAGGCUUUGGGGCAGAGCUCGGGGGGCCCGAACCGCUGUCGGUACUUGGGGGGGUCCCGUCAGGCGUCGCUCCGUCCCCACCGGCCCGACCCGGCAGCGCCCCGAAUCCGAAGGGUUGGGCUCGGGUUCGGUGCCCCAUCUCGGAGCCGGCUCCUCUCCCCUUCUUCCCAUCCAUUCGACAGCUGGAUGCUAUUGAUCCCUUCCCUCUCCUCCUUUUUUUUCCUUCCCUUCCCGAGCUCUCUCUCCUCUCUCUUUAAUUCCCUCCGUUCCUCCGGAGGAGCCGCCCGGUUCUGGGGGUAAGUGCGCAAAUGGGAUCUCGGCCGCUCUCCGCUCUCCCUGUGCUGCCCCACGCGCGGAGUGGGCUCCCCCUCAUCCCCCCCCAUACCCCAAUACAUCUUCCUUCACCGGAGCCCUUCGGUUGCCGUACCCAGCGCUGCCCCCGUGUUCAGCGCUGCUGCGCUUCGGCGAUUUUUAUUCUGCGCUCAAUUUUCAUCUUUCUCCCCCCCCCCCCCAUACACCCUCCAUCCCUACCCCCCUUCCCUCCUUCAUUUCGCCUUAGGAAGAGCCCGAAAGGCAAAACGACGCGGCCCCAAAUAAGAGGCGGAGAAGCACCUGAGGGUGAGAUUUAUGGCAUCCAGCGAUCAGAAAGGUUAAAUGUGAGGCCAGAUCGAUCUUCCCCCCCCAUCGCCAUCCCUCCCCAUUGCCUGCAGCCAUCCUGGAGGACGUGGCUCAGCCUGAAGUGGCCAAGUGACCACGUAGGACCGCGGGACCCGAAGAUGCUGCUGACCAAUGGCUGCCCAAAGGAGCCCUUGUUGCUUAGCAACUCGGCUGCAGAGAGAGAGGGAGAGAGCGCAAAAAGAUGGAUUUUCAGAUUGCAGCAGCCAAGCAGAUCAAUUCUGCAACAUGGGCUACAGUGGCCAAGCGGAAUCUCUCUUGCUCCCAGCAGGUAUUGAUCCAGCCAUGCUAUAGGCAUUGAAUGAGCUCUAAUAAGUCCUGAGUAAACAGGAACAAGGACUUAAGUGAUAGCCCAGCAGUCAAACAUCAACUCCCUUUGUCUUCUCCUUCCUCUUCUUUUUUUUCUUCUUCUUCUUGUUUUUUGUUUUUUUAAUUGCUGAAACCUUCGCAAGAAAACGGCAAUAAAGUUUAUUGAUAGAAAAAUGAAGAGUCA